Octodon degus (degu) is the source of this 453-nucleotide non-coding RNA. The record is from the annotation of a RefSeq genome assembly. NCBI's taxonomy places the organism in Eukaryota, Metazoa, Chordata, Mammalia, Rodentia, Octodontidae.
AGUGGGCUCAGAAGGCAGGACCCACAGAUGACCUCCGCCAUGAUCUGGUCCCCGCUCCUCUUCAGCCUCCUGGCUCACUGCACAGGGUCCUGGGCGCAGGCCGUGCUGACUCAGCCUCCCUCAGUGUCUGGGUCUCCAGGAGAGACAGUCAGCCUCUCCUGCUCUGGAAACAGCAACAAUCUUGGGAGAUAUUCUGCCAGCUGGUACCAGCAGCUCUCAGGAACAGCUCCCAAACUCAUCAUCUAUAGGAAUAGCAAUCGACCCUCUGGGAUCUCUGAUCGGUUCUCUGGCUCCAAGUCUGGCAACUCAGCCUCCCUGACCAUCAGUGGGCUCCAAUCUGAGGACGAGGCUGACUAUUACUGUCUCUCUUAUGAUGACAGCCUCAGUGCUGGCACAGUGCUCCAGCCUCAUGGGGAAGCUAAGACAAAAACUUCCUCUUCUGCCAGAAGAUAA